AUUGGUUCCGCAUAGCCUGCAUUACCGCCACCUUGUCUCCGUGAUUUUGGAAGCAAGCCAGGAGGUCUCGUGGGGCCUUUGGCGGGGCCUUGGCUGCUCGUGGUAGGCGAAAUACAUUUUCGAUGGGUACCUGUCUGGCUUGCUUGUGAGGUAGAAGUGACUGCAUUAGUCUCCGCAAUGUAUGUGGGAGUUCAGACUCCGGUAUCUCCUCUCCUAUGCCUCGGAUUUUUAUGUUCCGGCAGCGACUCCGAUCCUCUAAGGCUGCUAUACGCUGCUCGUAUGUGGAUUGCUGUAUUUUGAUCUCCUGGACCGUUUGUUGUAGGGCUUGAGUGUGUUGUUUGGUGCACUGGGAGUCUGCCUCCAGUGUGCCCAGCCGGCCCGUUAGGCCUUGUAGGUCCUUGCGUAGUUGGGCCAUGUCGGCCUGUAUGGUUAGUCGGAGAUCUGCUAGGAGGUCUUUCAUGACAGCAACUGUCACUGGUGAGGAGUCUGCUUGCGGGGGUGACUUGCGAGGUGGUAUUUCCUCAUGCGGGUGUUCCAUCUCAGUCUCUGUGGUGAAAUCAUCAGAGAUAUCCGAGCCGUAGUCGUUGUAAGCGGCCAUGUUGGGGCCUUGGGCGCUAAGCGCCUGCUUCCACAUGUCGCCAAUGCUGUGGUGCUGCCGCGGGUUGUCGGGCUUAGAUUUUUUAGUUUUGCGGCCCAUAUCGUUGGUAGAUGCCUACAGGUCGUUUUGGUACCGGUUUCGUUGGGCUGGGUUCGUGUUAGCUGGUCCAAACUACUUUUUUGCAGCGGAGCUCGCUAGGCAUGCAGCCAUUCAGGUCAGUUGCUUGGCUCCGCC
Molecule: non-coding RNA, 832 nt
Organism: Pelobates cultripes (western spadefoot toad)
Lineage: Eukaryota; Metazoa; Chordata; Amphibia; Anura; Pelobatidae
Source: the annotation of a GenBank genome assembly